RNAcentral lists this ribosomal RNA (1440 nucleotides) under uncultured Candidatus Pelagibacter sp. RNAcentral's name for it is "16S ribosomal RNA". It matches the Rfam family "Bacterial small subunit ribosomal RNA". Lineage: Bacteria; Pseudomonadati; Pseudomonadota; Alphaproteobacteria; Candidatus Pelagibacterales; Candidatus Pelagibacteraceae. The record is from RNAcentral.
AGAGUUUGAUCCUGGCUCAGAAUGAACGCUGGCGGCACGCUUAACACAUGCAAGUCGAACGAGAUCUUCGGAUCUAGUGGCAGACGGGUGCGUAACGCGUGGGAACCUGCCCUUUAGUAAGGAAUAACUCAGGGAAACUUGUGCUAAUACCUUAUAAUCCCUUCGGGGGAAAGCUUUAUGCACCAUUGGAUGAGCCCGCACUUGAUUAGUUUGUUGGUAGGGUAAUGGCCUACCAAGACUGUGAUCAAUAGCUGAUUUGAGAGGAUGAUCAGCCACAUUGGGACUGAGACACGGCCCAAACUCCUACGGGAGGCAGCAGUGGGGAAUCUUGCACAAUGGAGGAAACUCUGAUGCAGCGAUGCCGCGUGAGUGAAGAAGGCCUUUGGGUUGUAAAGCUCUUUCGUCGGGGAAGAAAAUGACUGUACCCGAAUAAGAAGGUCCGGCUAACUUCGUGCCAGCAGCCGCGGUAAUACGAAGGGACCUAGCGUAGUUCGGAAUUACUGGGCUUAAAGAGUUCGUAGGUGGUUGAAAAAGUUGGUGGUGAAAUCCCAGAGCUUAACUCUGGGACUGCCAUCAAAACUUUUCAGCUAGAGUAUGAUAGAGGAAAGCAGAAUUUCUAGUGUAGAGGUGAAAUUCGUAGAUAUUAGAAAGAAUACCAAUUGCGAAGGCAACUUUCUGGAUCAUUACUGACACUGAGGAACGAAAGCAUGGGUAGCGAAGAGGAUUAGAUACCCCUCGUAGUCCAUGCCGUAAACGAUGUGUGUUAGACGUUGGAAAUUUAUUUUCAGUGUCGCAGGGGAAACCGAUAAAACACACCGCCCGGGGGAGUACGACCGCAAGGUUAAAACUCAAAUGAAUUGACGGGGACCCGCACAAGUAGUGGAGCAUGUGGUUUAAUUCGAAGAUACGCGCAGAACCUUACCAACACUUGACAUGUUCGUCGCGACUCUAAGAGAUUAGAGUUUUCGGUUCGGCCGGACGAAACACAGGUGCUGCAUGGCUGUCGUCAGCUCGUGUCGUGAGAUGUUGGGUUAAGUCCCGCAACGAGCGCAACCCUCACUUUUAGUUGCCAUCAUUAAGUUGGGCACUCUGAAAGAACUGCCAGUGAUAAGCUGGAGGAAGGUGGGGAUGACGUCAAGUCCUCAUGGCCCUUACGUGUUGGGCUACACACGUGCUACAAUGGCAUCUACAACAGGAAGCAAAACGGCAACGUUAAGCAAAUCCCGAAAAGAUGCCUCAGUUCGGAUUGCACUCUGCAACUCGAGUGCAUGAAGCUGGAAUUACUAGUAAUCGUGGAUCAGCGUGCCACGGUGAAUGCGUUCCCGGGUCUUGUACACACCGCCCGUCACACCAUGGGAGUUGGUUCUACCUUAAGGCAAGGUUUUAAACCCUUGACCACGGUAUAGUCAGCGACUGGGGUGAAGUCGUAACAAGGUAACC